RNAcentral lists this transfer RNA (72 nucleotides) under Paludibacteraceae bacterium. RNAcentral describes it as "tRNA-Arg". It matches the Rfam family "tRNA". From Rfam's summary of the family: Transfer RNA (tRNA) molecules are approximately 80 nucleotides in length. Their secondary structure includes four short double-helical elements and three loops (D, anti-codon, and T loops). Further hydrogen bonds mediate the characteristic L-shaped molecular structure. tRNAs have two regions of fundamental functional importance: the anti-codon, which is responsible for specific mRNA codon recognition, and the 3' end, to which the tRNAs corresponding amino acid is attached (by aminoacyl-tRNA synthetases). tRNAs cope with the degeneracy of the genetic code in two manners: having more than one tRNA (with a specific anti-codon) for a particular amino acid; and 'wobble' base-pairing, i.e. permitting non-standard base-pairing at the 3rd anti-codon position. RNAcentral also lists the same sequence under 1 other name. The record is from RNAcentral. Lineage: Bacteria; Pseudomonadati; Bacteroidota; Bacteroidia; Bacteroidales; Paludibacteraceae.
GUCUUCAUAGUUCAACGGAUAGAACAAAAGUUUCCUAAACUUUAGAUGUAGGUUCGAUUCCUACUGGAGAUA